AGCCGUUGGGAGCCUUGAGCUCUUAGUGGCGCAGCUAACGCAUUAAGUUGACCGCCUGGGGAGUACGGCCGCAAGGUUAAAACUCAAAUGAAUUGACGGGGGCCCGCACAAGCGGUGGAGCAUGGGGUUUAAUUCGAAGCAACGCGAAGAACCUUACCAGGCCUUGACAUCCAAUGAACUUUCUAGAGAUAGAUUGGUGCCUUCGGGAACAUUGAGACAGGUGCUGCAUGGCUGUCGUCAGCUCGUGUCGUGAGAUGUUGGGUUAAGUCCCGUAACGAGCGCAACCCUUGUCCUUAGUUACCAGCACGUAAUGGUGGGCACUCUAAGGAGACUGCCGGUGACAAACCGGAGGAAGGUGGGGGUGACGUCAAGUCAUCAUGGCCCUUACGGCCUGGGCUACACACGUGCUACAAUGGUCGGUACAGAGGGUUGCCAAGCCGCGAGGGGGGGGGGAUCCCACAAAACCGAUCGUAGUCCGGAUCGCAGUCUGCAACUCGACUGCGUGAAGUCGGAAUCGCUAGUAAUCGCGAAUCAGAAUGUCGCGGUGAAUACGUUCCCGGGCCUUGUACACACCGCCCGUCACACCAUGGGAGUGGGUUGCACCAGAAGUAGCUAGUCUAACCUUCGGGAGGACGGUUACCACGGUGUGAUUCAUGACUG
Molecule: ribosomal RNA, 660 nt
Filed under: Pseudomonas orientalis
Lineage: Bacteria; Pseudomonadati; Pseudomonadota; Gammaproteobacteria; Pseudomonadales; Pseudomonadaceae
Description: bacterial SSU rRNA
Rfam family: Bacterial small subunit ribosomal RNA
Source: RNAcentral